This 69-nucleotide transfer RNA is filed under the name Cephalonomia gallicola. RNAcentral describes it as "tRNA-Trp". The record is from RNAcentral. Lineage: Eukaryota; Metazoa; Arthropoda; Insecta; Hymenoptera; Bethylidae.
AUAAUUUUAAGUUAAAAAAACUAUUAACCUUCAAAGUUAAAAAUAUAAAUAAAUAAUUUAUAAAUUUUA